Camelina sativa (false flax) is the source of this 485-nucleotide non-coding RNA. The record is from RefSeq and is a predicted model, not a curated record. Lineage: Eukaryota; Viridiplantae; Streptophyta; Magnoliopsida; Brassicales; Brassicaceae.
UAUGUGUUAAGAAAUCAAAUGUUCUUCAUGUUUGGAAUCUGAGCUCCAAGACAACUGAUGAGAGUUUGAAGGAGCAUUUAACUCAACUGUUGAAGCAGGAACAGCAGAUUCUGAGUGUCAGGAUAAAAAAAGAUUGGCGGAAUAAUAUUCCAAUUGGUGAGGCUUAUGUAGAAUUCGAUUCUAUAAAGACAGCGACCAGAGUCUACAGAUAUCUACAGGAUACUGUUGUGGAUGAAUAUCGUUUGCAAUUUUCAUUCCGUGAGAAGAACCGAAAUUCAGAGACUAGGACAAAGUUACAUGUGAGACGUGUCUCUCCUGACGCAACCAAGAAAGAUCUCAAACAGCUUUUCGAGCCGUUUGGAGCGCUCAAGAGUGUUGACCUUCCAUUGUAUGAUAAUGGACAGCGUGGUUCUAUCGCUUAUGUUGACUUUUGCGAACAUCAAGAUGCUAAAAACGCUAAAAAGGCAUUGACUAACACUCUCUUA